CGCUAGCCCCGAUGGAAGCGGCAUCCUUUUGUGUGGGAGUGAGGCGGCGGAGCGCAGCGGAGCCGACCGAGCGACCAACAAAAGAUAUAGCGAACAGCGGGACCAAAU
Molecule: small RNA, 108 nt
Filed under: Soonwooa buanensis
Lineage: Bacteria; Pseudomonadati; Bacteroidota; Flavobacteriia; Flavobacteriales; Weeksellaceae
Description: Flavo-1 RNA
Rfam family: Flavo-1 RNA
Source: Rfam by way of RNAcentral